RNAcentral lists this ribosomal RNA (449 nucleotides) under uncultured prokaryote. RNAcentral's name for it is "bacterial SSU rRNA". It matches the Rfam family "Bacterial small subunit ribosomal RNA", at positions 355 to 796 of the family's 1533-position model. The record is from RNAcentral.
UGGGGAAUAUUGGACAAUGGGGGCAACCCUGAUCCAGCAAUGCCGCGUGUGUGAAGAAGGCCUGCGGGUUGUAAAGCACUUUCAGUAGGGAAGAAAACCUGUGGGUUAAUACCCCACAGGCUUGACGUCACCUACAGAAGAAGCACCGGCUAACUCCGUGCCAGCAGCCGCGGUAAUACGGAGGGUGCGAGCGUUAAUCGGAAUUACUGGGCGUAAAGCGCGCGUAGGCGGUUUGGUAAGUCGGAUGUGAAAUCCCCGGGCUUAACCUGGGAAUUGCAUUCGAUACUGCCUGACUAGAGUAUGGUAGAGGGUAGUGGAAUUCCUGGUGUAGCGGUGAAAUGCGUAGAUAUCAGGAGGAACACCAGUGGCGAAGGCGGCUACCUGGACCAAUACUGACGCUGAGGUGCGAAAGCGUGGGGAGCAAACAGGAUUAGAUACCCCGGUAGUCC